UCCCAGAUGGCUCAGAGGUUAAAGCAUCUGCCUGCAAUGCGGGAGACCUGGGUUCAAUCCCUGGGUCAGGAA
Molecule: transfer RNA, 72 nt
Filed under: Ovis aries (sheep)
Lineage: Eukaryota; Metazoa; Chordata; Mammalia; Artiodactyla; Bovidae
Rfam family: tRNA
About the family: Transfer RNA (tRNA) molecules are approximately 80 nucleotides in length.
Source: Rfam by way of RNAcentral